UGUUCAAUUCCCAUUAAAUAGAAUGGCAUAGGAAAAUGGUGCCUCUUCUAUUAAAUGGCAAAUUCAAGGUUUCCUUUUGGAAUUUAUAUAUUUGCUACUAUUUUCAAGCCAUGGAAUCUUUUUGGGUGCAAGCAUUAACUCAGCCAGGAUGAUUGGUAAAGCAGCGUUGCUUCCACUUCAUAUGGUCUUUGUAAGGAGAUAGAGCCAGUGUGGUAUAAUGUAGUGCUUCUAAAGCUAUCUGCUAUAGGGGAAUCACACUCAACGUGCCAGGGAUCUGCAUUUUAUUUGUGCUCAUUGGUGCAAUUGUUUCUUUCUUUCCUGAGAACUAUCCAGAGACUGGCACCUGAUGGCUUGUAGUUUGACACCAGUCCAGAGACCAACACUUUGAGUAGCCCUGAUGUUGAACUAGAACUUCAAGAGACCUAUAGUUUGCUCAGCCAGGAAACCCAGUGGGUUACCUUGGGUUACAGAAGAGCUCCUUGAACUGAGAGGCAUCCUGCAACAUCCGCCUGGCCAUUUGCCUCCUCUCCUCACUGUGCCGGCACACCAUCCGUUUCUGCAAUAAGGCCCUGAGGUUCCCAGCAGUUGUAUACCUUCAGAUCUACCAGCAUCUCCUCCAGUAGCAUCCGACAAGCCUUCUUUUGGGCUUUCUCCAGGGCUAUGUCCAAGGACGGCGGCACCUUUGUAGGCUCAAGUGAUGAUGCCCCAUCUGUAUACAGAGCUGGGAUGGAGGUGCUGCCAAUGGAAAGAAAAACAGUGAGGAAGAAUACAUGGGAAGAACUGACCUGCCCAGAAAGAUCUCCAGCUCCUUCAGAGUCAUGUUGCACAUCUUUUCCCGGAGAGUAUCAGAGAUGAUGGAUGCUACCCGGAUGUUUUCAUCCAGCAUCUGAGAUAAGACAGAAAAGAAAGAAAAGCAUUUGUGUGAAUGAGGUCAGACUUGUUCCCGAGUCUUGUUCCUGAAUCUUAAAGACUAUAUUGUGUAGAAAUUUGAUAGCUCUCCUUCUAUACUGUGGGAUGGGGCCUCCUCUCCUAUUAGACUUGUUCUGACCUU
Sceloporus undulatus (fence lizard) is the source of this 1051-nucleotide long non-coding RNA. RefSeq lists it as uncharacterized. The transcript has 4 exons. The record is from RefSeq and is a predicted model, not a curated record. NCBI's taxonomy places the organism in Eukaryota, Metazoa, Chordata, Lepidosauria, Squamata, Phrynosomatidae.